CAGUAGCCGCGGUAAUACGAAGGGGGCUAGCGAUGCUCGGAAUCACUGGGCGUAAAGGGUGCGUAGGCGGGUCUUUAAGUCAGGGGUGAAAUCCUGGAGCUCAACUCCAGAACUGCCUUUGAUACUGAAGAUCUUGAGUUCGGGAGAGGUGAGUGGAACUGCGUGUGUAGAGGUGAAAUUCGUAGAUAUUCGCAAGAACACCAGUGGCGAAGGCGGCUCACUGGCCCGAUACUGACGCUGAGGCACGAAAGCGUGGGGAGCAAACAGGAUUAGAUACCCGAGUAGUCCCUGUCUCUUAUAC
This 301-nucleotide ribosomal RNA is filed under the name uncultured bacterium. RNAcentral's name for it is "partial 16S ribosomal RNA". It matches the Rfam family "Bacterial small subunit ribosomal RNA", at positions 509 to 807 of the family's 1533-position model. The record is from RNAcentral.